This is a long non-coding RNA of Glycine soja, 513 nucleotides long. RefSeq lists it as uncharacterized. The transcript has 3 exons. Lineage: Eukaryota; Viridiplantae; Streptophyta; Magnoliopsida; Fabales; Fabaceae. The record is from RefSeq and is a predicted model, not a curated record.
GGAAUGGGCAGUUAUUUUUCUUCCAUCAGCGCCACCGUGGUCGAGGCAGAGAAUCCUCACGUGAGAGCGUUCCACUCCGCGGAGAGCUGGCAGACCCACUUCAAACAGAUCAAAGACUCCCCUAAGCUCCUACGUUGUGAUAGAUUUCACGGUGUCGUGGUGUCCCCCUUGCAAAUUCAUAGCUCCGCUAUUUAACGAGAUGGCCGCAAAGUUUACCGACGCUGAAUUCAUCAAGAUCGAUGUCGACGAAUUAUCUGAUGUGGCGAAGGAGUUUAACGUGGAAGCGAUGCCGACUUUUGUGUUGUGGAAGAAAGGGAAGGAAGUUGACAGGGUUGUGGGCGCCGAGAAGGACGAACUCAAGAACAAGAUUGAGAAACAUUAUCAAUUGUGAAAACGUGGAAUCAACACAUGCCAUGCUAGUAAUCUUUAAUUUUAGCUAUUCAAACAAACCUAUGUAUGUGUGAUGGUGAUAAAUUUGUGAAAUUUAAACUCGUUGGGUUGUUUCUUCGCCAA